This 550-nucleotide ribosomal RNA is filed under the name uncultured bacterium. RNAcentral's name for it is "bacterial SSU rRNA". It matches the Rfam family "Bacterial small subunit ribosomal RNA", at positions 353 to 897 of the family's 1533-position model. The record is from RNAcentral.
GUAAGGGAAUUUUUCACAAUGAGCGAAAGCUUGAUGGAGCAAUGCCGCGUGAACGAUGAAGGUCUUUAAGAUUGUAAAGUUCUUUUAUUUGGGAAGAAUGACUUUAGCAGGUAAUGGCUAGAGUUUGACUGUACCAUUUUGAAUAAGUGACGACUAACUAUGUGCCAGCAGUCGCGGUAAUACAUAGGUCGCAAGCGUUAUCCGGAUUUAUUGGGCGUAAAGCAAGCGCAGGCGGAUUGAAAAGUCUGGUGUUAAAGGCAGCUGCUUAACAGUUGUAUGCAUUGGAAACUAUUAAUCUAGAGUGUGGUAGGGAGUUUUGGAAUUUCAUGUGGAGCGGUGAAAUGCGUAGAUAUAUGAAGGAACACCAGUGGCGAAGGCGAAAACUUAGGCCAUUACUGACGCUUAGGCUUGAAAGUGUGGGGAGCAAAUAGGAUUAGAUACCCUAGUAGUCCACACCGUAAACGAUAGAUACUAGCUGUCGGGGCGAUCCCCUCGGUAGUGAAGUUAACACAUUAAGUAUCUCGCCUGGGUAGUACAUUCGCAAGAAUGA